RNAcentral lists this ribosomal RNA (331 nucleotides) under uncultured bacterium. RNAcentral describes it as "bacterial SSU rRNA". It matches the Rfam family "Bacterial small subunit ribosomal RNA", at positions 151 to 507 of the family's 1533-position model. The record is from RNAcentral.
CCGAAAGGUGGUCUAAUACUUCAUAAUAUCCAUCUCGUAUGGAUUAAAGCUUUAUGCGCUUUGGGAGGGGCCUGCGUAACAUUAGCUUGUUGGUGAGGUAAAAAGCUCACCAAGGCUUCGAUGUUUAACUGGUUUGAGAGGAUGACCAGUCACACUGGGACUGAGAUACGGCCCAGACUCCUACGGGAGGCAGCAGUAAGGAAUCUUCCACAAUGGGGGCAACCCUGAUGGAGCAAUACCGCGUGCAGGAUGAAGCGUUUCGGCGUGUAAACUGCUUUUAUCACCGAAGAUUAUGACUGUAGGUGAAGAAUAAGGACCGGCUAACUACGUG